GCACAUGCGCAGGCAUUUAGUCUCCAUGACUACCACGCCGACAUCGGCAGCCUCGGGCAGUUUACACUGACUUGCGGCGGCUAGGCACCGCAUGUCAGUAAUAUACCAUGGCUGCAUCCGGAUAUGGUCGUCCCGUGACCUCCACUUCAGGUUUGGAGUCCGGAUACGGAGCGGUGAUAUACACAGCUUGCCCGCGCGCCGGAAAUUGAUUACCGGUACGGGCAGCGGUACCAUAGGAUCCAAUCACCCACGCUGACACAUGUCCACACCCAGCUGCAGGUGAUCUAUUAACUAUAGCAACCGUCAUAUUACCGCCCAUGAUAGGCUUACUUGUUCCAUAUAUACUGCUCCCAAACCAUUCAGAGACACGUCCCCUGACGAAGCCAUUGUAGCGAAAACGCGUUCGGGGAAAGGAGGGUAAAAGGAAUUUGUCUGUGGAAAUAUAAGAGCGAUAGAAUUACCCGAGAUUUGUAAAUGCUUCAAAAUUCAUGUAGAGGAACACGAAGUCUAUAAACAUCUGGUCAAGGAAAGUCAUUUUUGGAUUUAGAAAACAGAAAAAUUGGAACAUGGGAGUCGGAAACCCAAGUUCGAAGGGAGGAUCUUUUCAUUCAGAAAUUGUAAAUAUGAGUCAGCCAUCCAGAACACAACUACUGUCCACAUACUUUACAGUGCUGGAGACUUUUCAAAAUAAAUAACAGUAAAAGUUGCCAGAACCUCCAAGUUUUCUCCAGAAAUGUCCGACAAGAAAAGUCGUGAUGUAUACGGCAUACGGAUCAAGUACAAUUGCUUCCGAGACGCUAGAGACAAAGUGCGAGGGGGUGCCAAGAUGCAGAUAAGAAGUUUCCAAGAAGUAGCAAAUGAAACACAUGUAACUGAGACAUGAGAAAGUGCAGGAGUCUCACAAAUUACUUCUAUGGAUCACCGUUUCAAUCUUGCCCCCAAAAAACCAAGGAGAACUGGAUGAAAGAGAACUGACACGAACCAGGACCUUUCUCUAAGGAAUUUUCAUUACACUGUUCAUAAGGUUUUCAAGAAGCAAAUAAAAUAGCUUGGAUACUUCUUUUCUUUUAAUAUAUAUUAAUUUAAAACCAUAAAAUGCACAGGCUGUAAGCUAUGAGAGCUACAUGAAUUCACACGUUUUUUUUGUUUGAUGGUAUCGGAAAACACACUUGAGUGUUAGACUGAUGUAUCCAAUAAGCAAGCCAAAACUUUGUAUUAUGUACAUUU
This is a long non-coding RNA of Hyla sarda, 1227 nucleotides long. RefSeq lists it as uncharacterized. NCBI's taxonomy places the organism in Eukaryota, Metazoa, Chordata, Amphibia, Anura, Hylidae. The record is from RefSeq and is a predicted model, not a curated record. The transcript has 5 exons.